RNAcentral lists this small nuclear RNA (139 nucleotides) under Mastacembelus armatus (zig-zag eel). Its description in RNAcentral is "U4 spliceosomal RNA (ENSMAMG00000018871.2)". It matches the Rfam family "U4 spliceosomal RNA". From Rfam's summary of the family: U4 small nuclear RNA (U4 snRNA) is a component of the major U2-dependent spliceosome. The structure of U4 snRNA from yeast and human has been reported. U4 snRNA presents a k-turn RNA motif in the 5p-SL related to recognition of Snu13 protein. The record is from Rfam by way of RNAcentral. Lineage: Eukaryota; Metazoa; Chordata; Actinopteri; Synbranchiformes; Mastacembelidae.
AUCCUUUCGCAGUGGCAGUAUCGUAGCCUAUGAGGUUUGUCCGAGGCGCGAUUAUUGCUAGUUGAAAACUUUACCCAAUACCCCGCCUUGACGACUUGAAAUAGUCGGUGAUGGCAAUUUUUGAUGGUCUCUAAGGAGA